RNAcentral lists this non-coding RNA (81 nucleotides) under Fragilariopsis kerguelensis. Lineage: Eukaryota; Bacillariophyta; Bacillariophyceae; Bacillariales; Bacillariaceae. The record is from RNAcentral.
GAAAAAUCGGACACACAUUCAUUUCUCUUUUAGCUUUCCCUCCAUUCUUUUUUCUUCGUUCUUCGUAUACAUCUCAUUCAC